UACAGGGGGUGCAAGCGUUAUUCGGAAUUAUUGGGCGUAAAGAGCGUGUAGGCGGCCAAGCAAGUUUGGUGUGAAAUCCCCGGGCUUAAUCCGGGAAGUGCAUUGAAUACUGCUAGGCUAGAGUAUAGGAGAGGAUGGCGGAAUUCCUGGUGUAGAGGUGAAAUUCGUAGAUAUCAGGAGGAACAACAGAGGCGAAGGCGGCCAUCUGGACUAUUACUGACGCUAAGGCGCGAAAGUGUGGGGAGCAAACAGG
RNAcentral lists this ribosomal RNA (253 nucleotides) under uncultured bacterium. RNAcentral describes it as "partial 16S ribosomal RNA". It matches the Rfam family "Bacterial small subunit ribosomal RNA", at positions 524 to 776 of the family's 1533-position model. The record is from RNAcentral.